Small nucleolar RNA from Lepus europaeus (European hare), 125 nucleotides. RefSeq annotates it as small nucleolar RNA SNORA65. Lineage: Eukaryota; Metazoa; Chordata; Mammalia; Lagomorpha; Leporidae. The transcript has a single exon. The record is from RefSeq and is a predicted model, not a curated record.
CCUGCCAGUGCACCUGACCAUCCUAGCGGCUGGUGCGGUCCAGUGGGGAGCUGAGAGGAAGCCCGGCCUAGGGAACAGGAUUGUUCGCCAUGUGGCUGCCUCUGUGCCGAAAACAUGGAACAGCC